GUCGUCAGCUCGUGUCGUGAGAUGUUGGGUUAAGUCCCGCAACGAGCGCAACCCUCGCCCUUAGUUGCCAGCAUUUAGUUGGGCACUCUAAGGGGACUGCCGGUGAUAAGCCGAGAGGAAGGUGGGGAUGACGUCAAGUCCUCAUGGCCCUUACGGGCUGGGCUACACACGUGCUACAAUGGUGGUGACAGUGGGCAGCGAGCACGCGAGUGUGAGCUAAUCUCCAAAAGCCAUCUCAGUUCGGAUUGCACUCUGCAACUCGAGUGCAUGAAGUUGGAAUCGCUAGUAAUCGCGGAUCAGCAUGCCGCGGUGAAUACGUUCCCGGGCCUUGUACACACCGCCCGUCACACCAUGGGAGUUGGUUUUACCCGAAGGCGCUGUGCUAACCGCAAGGAGGCAGGCGACCACGGUAGGGUCAGCGACUGGGGUGAAGUCGUAACAAGGUAGCCGUAACAAGGUAGAGUUUGAUCCUGGCUCAGU
Molecule: ribosomal RNA, 480 nt
Filed under: uncultured Ochrobactrum sp.
Lineage: Bacteria; Pseudomonadati; Pseudomonadota; Alphaproteobacteria; Hyphomicrobiales; Brucellaceae
Description: bacterial SSU rRNA
Rfam family: Bacterial small subunit ribosomal RNA
Source: RNAcentral